MicroRNA precursor from Chelonoidis abingdonii (Abingdon island giant tortoise), 94 nucleotides. Lineage: Eukaryota; Metazoa; Chordata; Testudines; Testudinidae. The record is from Ensembl.
UAUUGUAGUCUGUUGUUGUAAACAUCCCCGACUGGAAGCUGUAAGAGAAAUUCUAGCUUUCAGUCAGAUGUUUGCUGCAUCCGGCUAUUCAUGG